RNAcentral lists this ribosomal RNA (755 nucleotides) under uncultured bacterium. Its description in RNAcentral is "bacterial SSU rRNA". It matches the Rfam family "Bacterial small subunit ribosomal RNA", at positions 1 to 779 of the family's 1533-position model. The record is from RNAcentral.
UUAGAGUUUGAUCUGGCUCAGGACGAACGCUGGCGGCGUGCUUAACACAUGCAAGUCGAACGGUGAAGCCCAGCUUGCUGGGUGGAUCAGUGGCGAACGGGUGAGUAACACGUGAGUAACCUGCCCCUGACUCUGGGAUAAGCCUUGGAAACGAGGUCUAAUACCGGAUAUGUGACGUUCAGGCAUCUGAUGCGUCUGGAAAGAUUUAUCGGUCAGGGAUGGACUCGCGGCCUAUCAGCUUGUUGGUGAGGUAAUGGCUCACCAAGGCUAUGACGGGUAUCCGGCCUGAGAGGGUGAACGGACACACUGGAACUGAGACACGGUCCAGACUCCUACGGGAGGCAGCAGUAGGGAAUAUUGCUCAAUGGGGGAAACCCUGAAGCAGCAACGCCGCGUGGAGGAUGAAGGUUUUCGGAUUGUAAACUCCUUUUCUAAGAGAAGAUAAUGACGGUAUCUUAGGAAUAAGCACCGGCUAACUCCGUGCCAGCAGCCGCGGUAAUACGGAGGGUGCAAGCGUUACUCGGAAUCACUGGGCGUAAAGAGCGCGUAGGCGGGAUAAUAAGUCAGAUGUGAAAUCCUACGGCUUAACCAUAGAACUGCAUUUGAAACUAUUAUUCUAGAGUAUGGGAGAGGUAGGUGGAAUUCUUGGUGUAGGGGUAAAAUCCGUAGAGAUCAAGAGGAAUACUCAUUGCGAAGGCGACCUGCUGGAACAUAACUGACGCUGAUGCGCGAAAGCGUGGGGAGCAAACAGGAUU